RNAcentral lists this ribosomal RNA (495 nucleotides) under uncultured bacterium. Its description in RNAcentral is "partial 16S ribosomal RNA". It matches the Rfam family "Bacterial small subunit ribosomal RNA", at positions 28 to 505 of the family's 1533-position model. The record is from RNAcentral.
GAUGAACGCUGGCGGCGUGCCUAAUACAUGCAAGUCGAGCGAACAGACGAGGAGCUUGCUCCUCUGACGUUAGCGGCGGACGGGUGGGUAACACGUGGAUAACCUACCUAUAAGACUGGGAUAACUUCGGGAAACCGGAGCUAAUACCGGAUAAUAUAUUGAACCGCAUGGUUCAAUAGUGAAAGACGGUUUUGCUGUCACUUAUAGAUGGAUCCGCGCCGCAUUAGCUAGUUGGUAAGGUAACGGCUUACCAAGGCAACGAUGCGUAGCCGACCUGAGAGGGUGAUCGGCCACACUGGAACUGAGACACGGUCCAGACUCCUACGGGAGGCAGAAGUAGGGAAUCUUCCGCAAUGGGCGAAAGCCUGACGGAGCAACGCCGCGUGAGUGAUGAAGGUCUUCGGAUCGUAAAACUCUGUUAUUAGGGAAGAACAAAUGUGUAAGUAACUAUGCACGUCUUGACGGUACCUAAUCAGAAAGCCACGGCUAACUACG